CUCUUUACCACUUUGUCUGCAAGACUGCAACUUUAGGGUUUGCAUUUUGAGGUCCUCCUCGAUUUGUGGUUGCUAUUGGGUCUGUGAAAUCGAUACGAGUAUCUUUGCCUCUGAGCUGUGAUGGCCGAUGCUGCGAUGCGUUCUUUGGCUUCAGAGGCAUAGAUUUUCGCACCUGUUUCGCUAACUCUCUCUACAGUGUUCUCCUUCGACCAUGUGUAGGGAGUGGCAAAUUCAAUGGUAUCAGCGUGGAUAAAGUGGCAAACCAAGUAAAAAUAGAAGAAUAACACAAAGAAAGAAAGAAAGUAGAAGCUCAUGUAGUCAAAGGAGCAUGGAAGCUUCAAGAUUUCUUCUUAGAAGAUUGUGAUUGUGCUGAUUGUGGGCUUGAGCUAGUGUGAGCUCUUGGGUUGGACGUAUUGCUUAAAAGGUUCAAGUAAUGCAGGGGUUGAGACCUCUAGCGGCAGGAGGCCGGAGCUUAGCUGAUUUAUAUGAUGAUGUGAUGAUUAUGCUUGGAUGCUGGACAUGUCUGUUGCUAACAACUUUUGUUGUUAGCUUAUUUAUUAUGUGGCUGUUGAUGAAACUGUUGUUGGGUUGUGUUGUCUUAUUUGGUGAGCAGGAUUGUCCAUGCCACAUUAUUUUUGACUGUGUCUUGUUUUAGAUUCGUGUUGUAAUAAUGUAUCAGGAUUAUGUCCGGACUACGUGUUGUAGUUCCGUGAUUUUAGAUACUCACUGUUACUUAUAUUA
Molecule: long non-coding RNA, 741 nt
Organism: Gastrolobium bilobum
Lineage: Eukaryota; Viridiplantae; Streptophyta; Magnoliopsida; Fabales; Fabaceae
Exons: 4
Source: RefSeq, a predicted model, not a curated record